RNAcentral lists this ribosomal RNA (571 nucleotides) under Byttneria aspera. RNAcentral's name for it is "eukaryotic LSU rRNA". The stretch from base 211 to 366 matches the Rfam family "5.8S ribosomal RNA". RNAcentral also lists the same sequence under 1 other name. The record is from RNAcentral. Lineage: Eukaryota; Viridiplantae; Streptophyta; Magnoliopsida; Malvales; Malvaceae.
ACCCACACCGAGUUGGCAGGUGGCGCGAGGGGUACCAUGCCGCGAUCGUCGCUUGCCUGCUCACCCGCCUCGCCAUGGCCUAGCCCAGUCGAGUGCGGACCAAACGAACCCCGGCGCGAAUCGCGCCAAGGAACACGAAUCGAAGGGAUGGUGGCUGUCGCCCCGGGAACGGUCGGCACGGUCACGUCCCGUCCAUUGAGAAUCCAAAACGACUCUCGGCAACGGAUAUCUCGGCUCUCGCAUCGAUGAAGAACGUAGCGAAAUGCGAUACUUGGUGUGAAUUGCAGAAUCCCGUGAACCAUCGAGUCUUUGAACGCAAGUUGCGCCCCAAGCCAUUAGGCCGAGGGCACGUCUGCCUGGGUGUCACGCACAGUCGCCCCUCUCUCACACGUGAUGAGGAGGGGCGGAUGAUGGCCUCCCGUGCGUUACCCGCUCGCGGUUGGCCGAAAAGAGUUCGCGGACGACUAAUGACGUCGCGACGGUCGGUGGUAUGCAAAGCUGUGCCCGUCGCGCCCCGUCGCCUUGCAGGAUGCCAGCAUGACCCUGACGUGCGUCUAAGCAUGACGCUCGC